UACAGAGGUCUCAAGCGUUGUUCGGAUUCAUUGGGCGUAAAGGGCGCGUAGGCGGCGUAACAAGUCACUUGUGAAAUCUCCGGGCUUAACUCGGAGCGGUCAAGUGAUACUGUUGUGCUAGAGUGCGGAAGGGGCUACUGGAAUUCUCGGUGUAGCGGUGAAAUGCGUAGAUAUCGAGAGGAACACCUGCGGCGAAGGCGGGUAGCUGGGCCGACACUGACGCUGAAGCGCGAAAGCUAGGGGAGCGAACGGG
This 253-nucleotide ribosomal RNA is filed under the name uncultured bacterium. Its description in RNAcentral is "partial 16S ribosomal RNA". It matches the Rfam family "Bacterial small subunit ribosomal RNA", at positions 524 to 776 of the family's 1533-position model. The record is from RNAcentral.